GAUGAAGAACGCAGCGAAAUGCGAUAAGUAAUGUGAACUGCAGAAUUCAGUGAAUCAUCGAAUCUUUGAACGCACAUUGCGCCCCCUGGUAUUCCGGGGGGCAUGCCUGUUCGAGCGUCAUUUCACCACUCAAGCCUCGCUUGGUAUUGGGCAACGCGGUCCGCCGCGUGCCUCAAAUCGACCGGCUGGGUCUUCUGUCCCCUAAGCGUUGUGGAAACUAUUCGCUAAAGGGUGUUCGGGAGGCUACGCCGUAAAACAACCCCAUUUCUAAGGUUGACCUCGGAUCAGGUAGGGAUACCCGCUGAACUUAAGCAUAUCAAUAAGCGGAGGA
Molecule: unclassified non-coding RNA, 331 nt
Filed under: soil metagenome
Description: partial contains 5.8S ribosomal RNA, internal transcribed spacer 2, and large subunit ribosomal RNA
Rfam family: 5.8S ribosomal RNA (bases 1-120)
Source: RNAcentral